Molecule: ribosomal RNA, 433 nt
Filed under: uncultured bacterium
Lineage: Bacteria
Description: partial 16S ribosomal RNA
Rfam family: Bacterial small subunit ribosomal RNA
Source: RNAcentral
AACGAACGCUGGCGGCAUGCCUAACACAUGCAAGUCGAACGAGACCUUCGGGUCUAGUGGCGCACGGGUGCGUAACGCGUGGGAACCUGCCCUUAGGUUCGGAAUAACUCCCCGAAAGGGGUGCUAAUACCGGAUAAUGUCUUCGAACCAAAGAUUUAUCGCCUUUGGAUGGGCCCGCGUUGGAUUAGCUAGUUGGUAGGGUAAAAGCCUACCAAGGCGACGAUCCAUAGCUGGUCUGAGAGGAUGAUCAGCCACACUGGGACUGAGACACGGCCCAGACUCCUACGGGAGGCAGCAGUGGGGAAUAUUGGACAAUGGGCGAAAGCAUGAUCCAGCAAUGCCGCGUGAGUGAUGAAGGCCUUAGGGUUGUAAAGCUCUUUUACCCGGGAUGAUAAUGACAGUACCGGGAGAAUAAGCUCCGGCUAACUCCGUG